This is a microRNA precursor of Oreochromis aureus, 61 nucleotides long. The record is from Ensembl. Lineage: Eukaryota; Metazoa; Chordata; Actinopteri; Cichliformes; Cichlidae.
ACAUUUGCAUAAGGAUUGAAACUUGUUAUCAGUGGUGCUUUCAGUCAUCAUGCAAAUAUAC